This 73-nucleotide transfer RNA is filed under the name Ovis aries (sheep). It matches the Rfam family "tRNA". From Rfam's summary of the family: Transfer RNA (tRNA) molecules are approximately 80 nucleotides in length. Their secondary structure includes four short double-helical elements and three loops (D, anti-codon, and T loops). Further hydrogen bonds mediate the characteristic L-shaped molecular structure. tRNAs have two regions of fundamental functional importance: the anti-codon, which is responsible for specific mRNA codon recognition, and the 3' end, to which the tRNAs corresponding amino acid is attached (by aminoacyl-tRNA synthetases). tRNAs cope with the degeneracy of the genetic code in two manners: having more than one tRNA (with a specific anti-codon) for a particular amino acid; and 'wobble' base-pairing, i.e. permitting non-standard base-pairing at the 3rd anti-codon position. The record is from Rfam by way of RNAcentral. Lineage: Eukaryota; Metazoa; Chordata; Mammalia; Artiodactyla; Bovidae.
UCCCUGGUGGUCCAGUGGCUAAGACUUUGCGCUUCUAACGCAGGGGGCCCAGGUUUGAUCCCCAGUUAGGGAA